Long non-coding RNA from Myotis brandtii (Brandt's bat), 154 nucleotides. RefSeq lists it as uncharacterized. The transcript is spliced from 3 exons. NCBI's taxonomy places the organism in Eukaryota, Metazoa, Chordata, Mammalia, Chiroptera, Vespertilionidae. The record is from RefSeq and is a predicted model, not a curated record.
ACCCCUGGCCCAGCAGAGCCCUGGCUUCCCUUGCAGAGGCCCCACACGGACCAACUUGGCAAGCAGGUUCCUCUAGGGCUGCUGGCACCCAGGGGGCCAGACCCUGAACCUUCUGAGGACCCCACAGGUGCUGGGGGCGUGGCCGCCGGGGACC